This 490-nucleotide ribosomal RNA is filed under the name uncultured bacterium. RNAcentral's name for it is "partial 16S ribosomal RNA". It matches the Rfam family "Bacterial small subunit ribosomal RNA", at positions 30 to 507 of the family's 1533-position model. The record is from RNAcentral.
AUUGAACGCUGGCGGCAGGCUUAACACAUGCAAGUCGAACGGUAACAUAAAGAAGCUUGCUUCUUUGAUGACGAGUGGCGGACGGGUGAGUAAUGCUUGGGAAUCUAGCUUAUGGAGGGGGAUAACUACGGGAAACUGUAGCUAAUACCGCGUAAUAUCGAAAGAUUAAAGUGUGGGACCUUCAGGCCAUAUGCCAUAGGAUGAGCCCAAGUGGGAUUAGGUAGUUGGUGAGGUAAAGGCUCACCAAGCCGACGAUCUCUAGCUGGUCUGAGAGGAUGACCAGCCACACUGGGACUGAGACACGGCCCAGACUCCUACGGGAGGCAGCAGUGGGGAAUAUUGCGCAAUGGGGGCAACCCUGACGCAGCCAUGCCGCGUGAAUGAAGAAGGCCUUCGGGUUGUAAAGUUCUUUCGGUAGCGAGGAAGGCACUUAGUUUAAUAAACUAGGUGAUUGACGUUAACUACAGAAGAAGCACCGGCUAACUCCGUG